CAACUGAAAGAUGACCCUGCCAUACCUCCGGAACUGAUAGUCUUACCUUUAAAUGCUACUGUAGCUGAUCUUAAGAAGGAAGCAGCUAAAGCUUUUGAAGAAGUAUAUGUGAUGUUUAAGAGGUUUGAAGUUCAUGAAAUGGUUGAAUAUGGAUCUUUAGAAGAUUCAAUUACGGUUAAAUUUCUUGUUGGAACAAGUGGAUCAGUCAAGAUUAAAGGGACAUGCCCAUCAAGACAUGCAAUUAGCCAAUUUAGAAUGGAAAGAGGAACAGGGAGGUGGACAGUUGAUUGUAUGUGUGGGGCCAAGGAUGACGAUGGAGAGAAAAUGUUGGCU
RNAcentral lists this unclassified non-coding RNA (333 nucleotides) under Hevea brasiliensis (rubber tree). The record is from RNAcentral. Lineage: Eukaryota; Viridiplantae; Streptophyta; Magnoliopsida; Malpighiales; Euphorbiaceae.